UAUAGGAUACCCACCCGUUUAUCAACAAAAAGAAAGAAUGUAGAGAGGGUGAGCGUUGUUGUUGAGCAGAAGAGAAGAGAAUUGAAUCCAUUCCAGAUGUCAUAUUGUUGGCAAAUACACACUUUGGCGAGCAAGGCUCUUGUUCCAAUUCCACAGUCACAGUUUCAGUCAUUGUUUUUUCCUUAUUCACAUUCCCAUAGCAGUAUCCGUCUGGGUCUGAGUCGGAGGGUUCUUUGUUCAGGGCUUCAGGAAAUGUCCGUCGUAGAGUCAUCCUCACAAUACCAGUAGCAGCAGCAGAGCACCACCACCGACUACUAUCCCAGUGUCAGAGAUGAUGAAGAAGGUGAAGGAAUUUCUAAAAUACAUCCCUGUUUCCAAGUCCCAACUCCUAGACGCCAUCAUCCUCUCUAUCCAAGAUGAUAUUGAUGCCCAUCACUUUCGUCUUCUCACCUCAUGCUUAGACUCUAUACUUCAUGCCGAGCAUAAAACUAUCUUAGAGGAGAUGCGUUCCGAUUAUCAACUUACAGAUUCACUCCAACAACUUGUGUCCAAUCCCAAUGUCAAGGAGGAAGGGAACCUCUAUGACUAUCAGCCUGCUUUGGACCUCACCGCUCUUUUACGAUCUCUCGACAUACCUACCAAGAAAGAUUAUGAUACGGGCUCCAGAGUUACCAUUGCUACCCGUUUCCAACGUGCUUUCAUGCAGCUUCUUUCAAAUGCACAAUUUGAAGAACUAUCAGCUAGGGACCUGAUGUUAACGUCUGCAUUGAACACAGACUAUCUCCUUACCUUGCCAGUAUAUGUUGAUUGGAAGAGGGCAUAUGAGUCUAAUGCCAUAAUAUUUAGGCGUGGCUAUGCAACUGAGAAGCAGAAGGGCCUAUUAAUUGUUGAAAAACUGGAUUACUUACAGUCUAAGUUUCUUCGAAGAACCUUCUUUGCUAUAUCAGAACCACUAACAAAACUUGGCACCUGGAUAAGUGAGCUUUACGAAAAUGCCAGUCAGAAACAUGAAGUACAAAAUUGGACAGAAAGAUUGAGGCUUUGGCUAAAGGAAUUGUCAGUAUUUCAGAAAUCACUACUUUAUAAUGACCCUGCUUCAGAUGAGCAAAUAGGUGAGGACCAAGUACCAAAUGUAGAACUUCCUAUUUGGCUGGCAGCUCAAAGGGCAGUAGCUCGAUAUGAAGGGAUUUUGUCACCAGUUGGUCCCCGUUAGGAGAUUGCUUUCUUGGAUAGGACUUAUUCCCCCUAUGCCAGAAACACCUUUUGAGGUUCACAAUGAUAAUAACGCUCCUGAACCUUACCUAAGGACCCCUGAAACUCACUCUCAAGUCUCAACAAGUCUUAAAUGAACCAUGAACAAUCAAGAUAAGCUGCCACAAAGGAAAGGACCUGUGAUUAACCGGGUAUGAUUUGUUGGUUUGGAGUUUAAAUUUCACAAGCCUGAAGUUCUCAGUUUGAAACCUGCAACAUCCAAAAAAAACCCGGGUAUUCUCAUGAGAACAUCAAGUAACAAGUCAAAAAGUUAUAAAAAUUCAUUCAGCUCUCCAAUUUUUUUAGUGCAUAGGUUUCCACUAUAUUCAGGCAAAAGUAGAAUUGUCUUGAACCUAAGGGGUUUGGUUUAAGUGUUUAUUUUCUGAAAAUAAUUUUUGUUUUUAAAUUUUCCAGAUUUAGAAAACAUGUAUUGAGAAGAAAGUAGUUUUCACUUCUUCACAAAA
Molecule: RNA transcript, 1715 nt
Organism: Glycine soja
Lineage: Eukaryota; Viridiplantae; Streptophyta; Magnoliopsida; Fabales; Fabaceae
Exons: 6
Source: RefSeq, a predicted model, not a curated record